Molecule: transfer RNA, 66 nt
Filed under: Rhagonycha nigroimpressa
Lineage: Eukaryota; Metazoa; Arthropoda; Insecta; Coleoptera; Cantharidae
Also listed under: 7 other names
Description: tRNA-Met
Source: RNAcentral
AAAAAGAUAAGCUAAAUAAAGCUUUUAGGCUCAUACCCUAAAUAUGAAUUUAAAAUUCUCUUUUUA